Molecule: ribosomal RNA, 497 nt
Filed under: uncultured bacterium
Lineage: Bacteria
Description: partial 16S ribosomal RNA
Rfam family: Bacterial small subunit ribosomal RNA
Source: RNAcentral
GAUGAACGCUGGCGGCGUGCCUAAUACAUGCAAGUAGAACGCUGAAGGAAGGAGCUUGCUCUUUCCGGAUGAGUUGCGCACGGGUGAGUAACGCGUAGGUAACCUGCCUGGUAGCGGGGGAUAACUAUUGGAAACGAUAGCUAAUACCGCAUAACAGUAGAUGUUGCAUGAUAUCUACUUAAAAGGUGCAAUUGCACCACUACCAGAUGGACCUGCGUUGUAUUAGCUAGUUGGUGAGGUAACGGCUCACCAGGGCGACGAUACAUAGCCGACCUGAGAGGGUGAUCGGCCACACUGGGACUGAGACACGGCCCAGACUCCUACGGGAGGCAGCAGUAGGGAAUCUUCGGCAAUGGACGGAAGUCUGACCGAGCAACGCCGCGUGAGUGAAGAAGGUUUUCGGAUCGUAAAGCUCUGUUGUAAGAGAAGAACGAGUGUGAGAGUGGAAAGUUCACACUGUGACGGUAUCUUACCAGAAAGGGACGGCUAACUACGUG